UCCACGCCGUAAACGAUGUCAACUAACUGUUGGAACCUUAAAGGUUUUAGUGGUGGAGCUAACGUAUUAAGUUGACCGCCUGGGGAGUACGGCCGCAAGGCUAAAACUCAAAUGAAUUGACGGGGGCCCGCACAAGCGGUGGAGCAUGUGGUUUAAUUCGAUGCAACGCGAAGAACCUUACCUACCCUUGACAUCCAGAGAAUCUGUUAGAGAUAGUAGAGUGCCUUCGGGAA
Molecule: ribosomal RNA, 233 nt
Filed under: uncultured bacterium
Lineage: Bacteria
Description: partial 16S ribosomal RNA
Rfam family: Bacterial small subunit ribosomal RNA
Source: RNAcentral